UCGGAUAUGGUGUAACGGCUAACAUUAGCGCCUCUCAUUCCAUUCUGGUCAUUUUAGCGCGCUAGCUCGGGGUUCGAUUCCCCGUAUCCGAA
This is a non-coding RNA of Hymenopellis radicata, 92 nucleotides long. The record is from the annotation of a GenBank genome assembly. NCBI's taxonomy places the organism in Eukaryota, Fungi, Basidiomycota, Agaricomycetes, Agaricales, Physalacriaceae.